This 67-nucleotide transfer RNA is filed under the name Mus musculus (house mouse). It matches the Rfam family "tRNA". From Rfam's summary of the family: Transfer RNA (tRNA) molecules are approximately 80 nucleotides in length. Lineage: Eukaryota; Metazoa; Chordata; Mammalia; Rodentia; Muridae. The record is from Rfam by way of RNAcentral.
GAGAAUGUGGCUCAAUGGUAGAGUACUUGCCUAGCAUGCAGGAGUCCCUGGGUUCAACCCAGCAUCA